RNAcentral lists this ribosomal RNA (245 nucleotides) under uncultured bacterium. RNAcentral describes it as "partial 16S ribosomal RNA". It matches the Rfam family "Bacterial small subunit ribosomal RNA", at positions 118 to 348 of the family's 1533-position model. The record is from RNAcentral.
UGGGUAACCUGCCUCAAAGAGGGGAAUAGCCUCCCGAAAGGGAGAUUAAUACCGCAUAAUAUGUUUUAGUCGCAUGACUUAAACAUCAAAGGAUUUUUCUUUUAAGAAAUUCCACUUUGAGAUGGACCCACGGCGCAUUAGCUAGUUGGUGAGGUAACGGCUCACCAAGGCAACGAUGCGUAGCCGACCUGAGAGGGUGAUCGGCCACAUUGGAACUGAGACACGGUCCAGACUCCUAGGGACGG